RNAcentral lists this ribosomal RNA (253 nucleotides) under uncultured bacterium. RNAcentral describes it as "partial 16S ribosomal RNA". It matches the Rfam family "Bacterial small subunit ribosomal RNA", at positions 524 to 776 of the family's 1533-position model. The record is from RNAcentral.
UACGUAGGGUGCGAGCGUUAAUCGGAAUUACUGGGCGUAAAGCGUGCGCAGGCGGUUUUGUAAGCCAGAUGUGAAAUCCCCGGGCUUAACCUGGGAAUGGCAUUUGGGACUGCAAGGCUUGAGUGCGGCAGAGGAGACUGGAAUUCCUGGUGUAGCAGUGAAAUGCGUAGAUAUCAGGAGGAACACCGAUGGCGAAGGCAGGUCUCUGGGCUGACACUGACGCUGAGGAGCGAAAGCAUGGGGAGCGAACAGG